This 2904-nucleotide ribosomal RNA is filed under the name Escherichia coli. RNAcentral's name for it is "23S ribosomal RNA". It matches the Rfam family "Bacterial large subunit ribosomal RNA". The record is from RNAcentral. Lineage: Bacteria; Pseudomonadati; Pseudomonadota; Gammaproteobacteria; Enterobacterales; Enterobacteriaceae.
GGUUAAGCGACUAAGCGUACACGGUGGAUGCCCUGGCAGUCAGAGGCGAUGAAGGACGUGCUAAUCUGCGAUAAGCGUCGGUAAGGUGAUAUGAACCGUUAUAACCGGCGAUUUCCGAAUGGGGAAACCCAGUGUGUUUCGACACACUAUCAUUAACUGAAUCCAUAGGUUAAUGAGGCGAACCGGGGGAACUGAAACAUCUAAGUACCCCGAGGAAAAGAAAUCAACCGAGAUUCCCCCAGUAGCGGCGAGCGAACGGGGAGCAGCCCAGAGCCUGAAUCAGUGUGUGUGUUAGUGGAAGCGUCUGGAAAGGCGCGCGAUACAGGGUGACAGCCCCGUACACAAAAAUGCACAUGCUGUGAGCUCGAUGAGUAGGGCGGGACACGUGGUAUCCUGUCUGAAUAUGGGGGGACCAUCCUCCAAGGCUAAAUACUCCUGACUGACCGAUAGUGAACCAGUACCGUGAGGGAAAGGCGAAAAGAACCCCGGCGAGGGGAGUGAAAAAGAACCUGAAACCGUGUACGUACAAGCAGUGGGAGCACGCUUAGGCGUGUGACUGCGUACCUUUUGUAUAAUGGGUCAGCGACUUAUAUUCUGUAGCAAGGUUAACCGAAUAGGGGAGCCGAAGGGAAACCGAGUCUUAACUGGGCGUUAAGUUGCAGGGUAUAGACCCGAAACCCGGUGAUCUAGCCAUGGGCAGGUUGAAGGUUGGGUAACACUAACUGGAGGACCGAACCGACUAAUGUUGAAAAAUUAGCGGAUGACUUGUGGCUGGGGGUGAAAGGCCAAUCAAACCGGGAGAUAGCUGGUUCUCCCCGAAAGCUAUUUAGGUAGCGCCUCGUGAAUUCAUCUCCGGGGGUAGAGCACUGUUUCGGCAAGGGGGUCAUCCCGACUUACCAACCCGAUGCAAACUGCGAAUACCGGAGAAUGUUAUCACGGGAGACACACGGCGGGUGCUAACGUCCGUCGUGAAGAGGGAAACAACCCAGACCGCCAGCUAAGGUCCCAAAGUCAUGGUUAAGUGGGAAACGAUGUGGGAAGGCCCAGACAGCCAGGAUGUUGGCUUAGAAGCAGCCAUCAUUUAAAGAAAGCGUAAUAGCUCACUGGUCGAGUCGGCCUGCGCGGAAGAUGUAACGGGGCUAAACCAUGCACCGAAGCUGCGGCAGCGACGCUUAUGCGUUGUUGGGUAGGGGAGCGUUCUGUAAGCCUGCGAAGGUGUGCUGUGAGGCAUGCUGGAGGUAUCAGAAGUGCGAAUGCUGACAUAAGUAACGAUAAAGCGGGUGAAAAGCCCGCUCGCCGGAAGACCAAGGGUUCCUGUCCAACGUUAAUCGGGGCAGGGUGAGUCGACCCCUAAGGCGAGGCCGAAAGGCGUAGUCGAUGGGAAACAGGUUAAUAUUCCUGUACUUGGUGUUACUGCGAAGGGGGGACGGAGAAGGCUAUGUUGGCCGGGCGACGGUUGUCCCGGUUUAAGCGUGUAGGCUGGUUUUCCAGGCAAAUCCGGAAAAUCAAGGCUGAGGCGUGAUGACGAGGCACUACGGUGCUGAAGCAACAAAUGCCCUGCUUCCAGGAAAAGCCUCUAAGCAUCAGGUAACAUCAAAUCGUACCCCAAACCGACACAGGUGGUCAGGUAGAGAAUACCAAGGCGCUUGAGAGAACUCGGGUGAAGGAACUAGGCAAAAUGGUGCCGUAACUUCGGGAGAAGGCACGCUGAUAUGUAGGUGAAGUCCCUCGCGGAUGGAGCUGAAAUCAGUCGAAGAUACCAGCUGGCUGCAACUGUUUAUUAAAAACACAGCACUGUGCAAACACGAAAGUGGACGUAUACGGUGUGACGCCUGCCCGGUGCCGGAAGGUUAAUUGAUGGGGUCAGCGCAAGCGAAGCUCUUGAUCGAAGCCCCGGUAAACGGCGGCCGUAACUAUAACGGUCCUAAGGUAGCGAAAUUCCUUGUCGGGUAAGUUCCGACCUGCACGAAUGGCGUAAUGAUGGCCAGGCUGUCUCCACCCGAGACUCAGUGAAAUUGAACUCGCUGUGAAGAUGCAGUGUACCCGCGGCAAGACGGAAAGACCCCGUGAACCUUUACUAUAGCUUGACACUGAACAUUGAGCCUUGAUGUGUAGGAUAGGUGGGAGGCUUUGAAGUGUGGACGCCAGUCUGCAUGGAGCCGACCUUGAAAUACCACCCUUUAAUGUUUGAUGUUCUAACGUGGACCCGUAAUCCGGGUUGCGGACAGUGUCUGGUGGGUAGUUUGACUGGGGCGGUCUCCUCCUAAAGAGUAACGGAGGAGCACGAAGGUUGGCUAAUCCUGGUCGGACAUCAGGAGGUUAGUGCAAUGGCAUAAGCCAGCUUGACUGCGAGCGUGACGGCGCGAGCAGGUGCGAAAGCAGGUCAUAGUGAUCCGGUGGUUCUGAAUGGAAGGGCCAUCGCUCAACGGAUAAAAGGUACUCCGGGGAUAACAGGCUGAUACCGCCCAAGAGUUCAUAUCGACGGCGGUGUUUGGCACCUCGAUGUCGGCUCAUCACAUCCUGGGGCUGAAGUAGGUCCCAAGGGUAUGGCUGUUCGCCAUUUAAAGUGGUACGCGAGCUGGGUUUAGAACGUCGUGAGACAGUUCGGUCCCUAUCUGCCGUGGGCGCUGGAGAACUGAGGGGGGCUGCUCCUAGUACGAGAGGACCGGAGUGGACGCAUCACUGGUGUUCGGGUUGUCAUGCCAAUGGCACUGCCCGGUAGCUAAAUGCGGAAGAGAUAAGUGCUGAAAGCAUCUAAGCACGAAACUUGCCCCGAGAUGAGUUCUCCCUGACCCUUUAAGGGUCCUGAAGGAACGUUGAAGACGACGACGUUGAUAGGCCGGGUGUGUAAGCGCAGCGAUGCGUUGAGCUAACCGGUACUAAUGAACCGUGAGGCUUAACCUU